Non-coding RNA from Potamilus streckersoni, 79 nucleotides. The record is from the annotation of a GenBank genome assembly. Lineage: Eukaryota; Metazoa; Mollusca; Bivalvia; Unionida; Unionidae.
GGAUCCGCUCAGGUGGCUUAGUGGUUAGAGCAUCUGCUUCAGAUGCUGGAAGUCGCAGGUUUGAUCCCAGGCCUAUUCA